ACGGGUGCGUAACGCCUAUGCCACCUACCUUUAUCAGGGGGAUAGCCCGGAGAAAUCCGGAUUAAUACCGCAUAAAAUCACAGCACUGCAUACUGCAAUGAUCAAACAUUUAUGGGAUGAAGAUGGGCAUGCGUGUCAUUAACUACUUGGCGGGGUAACGGCCCACCAAGGCGACGAUUACUAGGGGAUCUGAGAGGAUGGCCCCCCACACUGGUACUGAGACACGACCACACUCAUACAGGAGGCAGCAGUAAGGAAUAUUGGUCACUGGAGGCAACUCUGAACCAGCCUUGCCGCGUGCAGGAAGACUGCCCUAUGGGUUGUAAACUGCUUUUAUCCGGGAAUAAACCUAUCUACAUGUAGAUAGCUCAAUGUACCGGAAGAAUAAGGAUCGGCUAACUCCGUGCCAGCAGCCGCGGUAAUACGGAGGAUCCAAGCGUUAUCCGGAUUUAUUGGGUUUAAAGGUUGCGUAGGCGGCCUGUUAAGUCAGGGGUGAAAGACGGUAGCUCAACUAUCUGCAGUGCCCUUGAUACUGAUGGGCUUGAAUGGACAACAGGUAGGCGGAACGAGACAA
Molecule: ribosomal RNA, 574 nt
Filed under: Sphingobacteriaceae bacterium StRD458
Lineage: Bacteria; Pseudomonadati; Bacteroidota; Sphingobacteriia; Sphingobacteriales; Sphingobacteriaceae
Description: bacterial SSU rRNA
Rfam family: Bacterial small subunit ribosomal RNA
Source: RNAcentral